RNAcentral lists this long non-coding RNA (588 nucleotides) under Salmo salar (Atlantic salmon). RNAcentral's name for it is "lncRNA (ENSSSAG00000095833.1)". The record is from RNAcentral. Lineage: Eukaryota; Metazoa; Chordata; Actinopteri; Salmoniformes; Salmonidae.
GUACAACCCUCACCUAAACACUUCUGUAAUCUCCCUCCCAUCUCGUGGUCUAAUCAUAUGCUUUCCUGGCCCCCUAAACACCUCUAUUCUCUUGUUCAGAGAAAUGGUCUGAGUAAAUACUUCCUUCCAAAUGUCUUUGAAAGUAAUGAAAUAGUAUUUUAACCCAGGUCUGGUGCUGUGCGACUCCACACACUGCUGAGUGGCUGUAUUUCAAAUCAAACUUUAUUUGUCACAUGCGCCGAAUACAACAGGUGCAGGUAGACCUUACAGUGAAAUGCUGAAUACAACAGGUGCAGGUAGACCUUACAGUGAAAUGCUGAAUACAACAGGUGCAGGUAGACCUUACAGUGAAAUGCUGAAUACAACAGGUGCAGGUAGACCUUACAGUGAAAUGCUGAAUACAACAGGUGUAGGUAGACCUUACAGUGAAAUGCUGAAUACAACAGGUGUAGGUAGACCUUACAGUGAAAUGCUUACUUACAGGCCCUAACCAACAGUGCAAUUUUUAAGUAAAGAAUAGGUAUUAGGUGAACAAUAGAUAAGUAAAGAAAUGAAAAACAGUAAGAAGACAGUGAAAAAUAACAGUAG